AGAAAAUGGAGCCUUUCAUAAAGAUAAUGAGGUGCAUUCAAUGAUUUACAGAAAUGAGGAAAAUUGCUUACAAUUUUCUCUGCCAGUUUGGCUUUCUUUUUAUCUACCAGAAAUAUUUUAGAGAUAACACACAUUACCGCCUUGAAGUUUAAAGAGGGAUGGAGAAGGAUGAGUUGGAUUGUCCUUUAUUUUGCCUUUCACACAGGACAAUUGUCUGUGAGCUAAAUCAGGCCAAGUGGCUGUAUUUUAUGCAGGUAUAAAUGACUGAGGGAUACUUCUAAAGUGUGAUUCAGCUGUCAUAUUUUAGAUGUCUAUUUUCAGAUGAGAUGAAUUGCACUGCAGAAAUGCUGAUUUCUUCUUACUGACUAUAAAGGAAGCCUCAGGUGACCAGCUCAGAUAAUAGGAAAAAAAUAGGUGAGAGAGUAUUUGAGAAAGACUGUAUGAGCAUAUAAUGAAAGAAUGUGUCAUCACUCUUUCACAGACUGAAGCAAAAUGAAUAUCACAUGCACCACUGCCAUCUCAUGUUUACUAAGUGAUUAUCUUUCAGCCUUCAUGUUAUCUUAGUGUAUCAUGUUAAAACAGUCUACCAAGAUGACUCAUAUCAUACACAUGAACAUGAGCACACUCAUAUGUUCUUCUCUAGGCUGUUCCCUCGAAAGCACAAGAUGAAGCUUCUUGGGAGAUGAAGAAUUGUCCAACAUUGUUAUGAAAUUGAGAAAAGAAAUCCUACUGGGAUACUGUGUGGAGUGUGUGAAAUUAAGGCAAGGUGAGAGAACAUCCUCUUUACCUCCUCUACAAGGAUCAGAAUGAGAUAUAGGCCUCAGCAGUACAGACACUUUCCCACGAGGGACACAGCCUGCUGAAUAUAAAUAUUGUAGGCAGUGAGUCACCAAAGAUGAUGUCAUUGAUUUAUGCAAGGAUUGCAGAGUUUGGACUUGGUGAGAGAGGUUUUCUCGUCUAAAUGCAGCUAGAUUGUCAUAUGCAAUUUCAGCAAAACCAAGGCUUUGAAAUAGAUGUAAGAAGAGAAACCGAAGAGGAAGUGAAAGGGAAGAGGACUGCAUACUUUUUGAGGAAGAAUCUGCAUGAAACUGAGAAUGAAAUCAAAGGGACAGCGCCUCACUGCAGCCAGGCUGACUGGAAUGGAAGUACAGGGGGCUACUGGCCUAAUAUAGAGCCAAUAAAACAAUAUUCCUCUAAAUUUUGUAUAAAGACCUGUGGCAGGAGAUAAACCACACUGAACCUCAAAGCAGUGCUUUAAAGACUGCUAAAUGAACAAGUGCUGCUGUAACACCAGAGGACAAGCACCACAUGGCUUCUUCAAUGAGAAAUGAAUAUCAGUGACCCACAGAUCAGGUAGGUGAAAACAAGCCCAAAUGGGAGAGAAGCCUCCAAGUGCAGAAGGGACAUUAGCAUCAGCACCAGCAGCAGCUGGGCUUCUGUCAAGCAAGGCUGUGUGGAAGAUGAUAACCUCUUCUUUUUCUCUGUAAAUACGUAUUUUACAACAACUUGGCAAAACACACAGAAACCUUCCUAGGAAUAUUUACAGCUGAUGCAAUGCCUCAUUGAGUACUAAUGGUGAAAAACAAGAAGUUAUUGAUACUUACUGUCACAACAGUGGGCCACAAGCCAUUUAUGUCCACAGCAGCUCAAGCCAUCCCAGGAAGCAAUGAAUCUGACAAAAAUGCAUGUUAGGGGCCCAGAGUACUAUUGGUGGACCACCCACUCUGUGCAACGUUGUGAUCAAAAGGGAGGUUGUGAUCCAUGGAUGCAGAAUUGAAGAACGCCAAGUUGGAUCUGAAUUUUGAAGAACUGAUACCUGAGCUGAGAGAACAGAAAAAGUAAGUUUUAUGGUAAAAGACUCCACUCUAUUCAGCAUCCCUGAAAAAAGCUGAAUUGUGACAACUCGGGGAACAGAGGGCAGUUAUGUUCUCCAUCCCACAAACAGAGGAGGAAGAAAUCCAUUGGCCAGAAGGCAAAGCACAACUUAGGAUAAAAAUAAAGUACAUACUUCUUACUGGGAAGAUACUUAA
RNAcentral lists this long non-coding RNA (2030 nucleotides) under Anas platyrhynchos platyrhynchos (common mallard). Its description in RNAcentral is "lncRNA (ENSAPLG00000019639.1)". Lineage: Eukaryota; Metazoa; Chordata; Aves; Anseriformes; Anatidae. The record is from RNAcentral.